This 521-nucleotide long non-coding RNA is filed under the name Chelonus insularis. RNAcentral describes it as "uncharacterized LOC118067991, transcript variant X1". Lineage: Eukaryota; Metazoa; Arthropoda; Insecta; Hymenoptera; Braconidae. The record is from RNAcentral.
GACAUAGUGUAGCUGAGUAGACACUCUUAUGUUUUAUGAUCAACCUACUGUGAUGAUGAUGUCACUUAAAAAUUCAACUAAACAGCCGACCUGAUUCUGUGAAAUCUUCAGAUUCGUUGAAACAGACGGAGUAAUCGUCUGGUAUAUCAUUUAACGACUCUUCAGAAGCGAGGGAUGCAACACAUGUGUUUUAAACACACUCUGAUUUUGGCAAUUAUCACGAGAAUCUAAUAGGACACUUGUCAUAACAAUCUACAGGAGAUCAGUGCAUGAGAUCAUGCAAUUCAGUUACGCAAUGUACAUGAAGCUAUGACCGCUGACUCUCCGCCUACUUGCAAUAUUCCUUCAACCCAUAUUUGCGUGACACUGGUAUAUUGAAAGAUGCUGGACAUUUUGGACAUCGAUGAGGUUUCUCUUCAGCAUGUUGUUCCAUAUGCUUACGGUAAAGGAUUUGUUUCUUGAACUCUUCACCACAAAUUUCACAUUUAUGAUCCGUCUGGAAUAAAUAAAAUAUAUUAAAA